Molecule: ribosomal RNA, 403 nt
Filed under: Fusobacteriota bacterium
Lineage: Bacteria; Fusobacteriati; Fusobacteriota
Description: Fusobacteria bacterium partial 16S ribosomal RNA
Rfam family: Bacterial small subunit ribosomal RNA
Source: RNAcentral
UGGGGAAUAUUGCACAAUGGUGGGAACUCUGAUGCAGCGACGCCGCGUGAACGAAGAAGGCUUUCGAGUCGUAAAGUUCUUUUAUAUGGGAAGAUAAUGACGGUACCAUAAGAAAAAGCCCCGGCUAACUUCGUGCCAGCAGCCGCGGUAAUACGUAGGGGGCUAGCGUUGUCCGGAAUUACUGGGCGUAAAGGGUUCGUAGGCGGAAAUGCAAGUCAGGUGUAAAAGGCAGUAGCUUAACUACUGUAAGCAUUUGAAACUGCAUAUCUUGAGAAGGGUAGAGGUAAGUGGAAUUUUUAGUGUAGCGGUGAAAUGCGUAGAUAUUAAAAAGAAUACCGGUGGCGAAGGCGACUUACUGGGCUCAUUCUGACGCUGAGGAACGAAAGCGUGGGUAGCAAACAGG